Molecule: transfer RNA, 75 nt
Filed under: Akkermansiaceae bacterium
Lineage: Bacteria; Pseudomonadati; Verrucomicrobiota; Verrucomicrobiia; Verrucomicrobiales; Akkermansiaceae
Description: tRNA-Val
Rfam family: tRNA
About the family: Transfer RNA (tRNA) molecules are approximately 80 nucleotides in length. Their secondary structure includes four short double-helical elements and three loops (D, anti-codon, and T loops).
Source: RNAcentral
GCGCGAUUAGCUCAGUGGUAGAGCGCUAGCUCGACACGCUAGAGGUCGCUGGUUCAAAUCCAGCAUCGCGCACCA